CUAACAUGGAUGCCCUGGGAGGUCCGUAUCCCCAGGCUCUGUCCAAGUGUCAUAGGGGAGCCUAGGGCUCUGCCCUGUGGUGUACAGUCCCUUUCCACAAUAUUGGAGAUGAAGCUGGUCUUUGUAUCUGCACCUUCGUGUUACUACAACUUCUCAGAGUUCUGUGUACAGUGACUGAGGAGAUAAACCUUGCAGGGAAUGAUG
Small nucleolar RNA from Fukomys damarensis (Damara mole-rat), 204 nucleotides. Its record names the gene SNORA73. It matches the Rfam family "Small nucleolar RNA SNORA73 family". From Rfam's summary of the family: U17 (SNORA73A and SNORA73B) also known as E1 belongs to the H/ACA class of small nucleolar RNAs (snoRNAs). Vertebrate U17 is intron-encoded and ranges in length from 200-230 nucleotides, longer than most snoRNAs. The record is from Ensembl. NCBI's taxonomy places the organism in Eukaryota, Metazoa, Chordata, Mammalia, Rodentia, Bathyergidae.